Molecule: ribosomal RNA, 450 nt
Filed under: uncultured bacterium
Lineage: Bacteria
Description: bacterial SSU rRNA
Rfam family: Bacterial small subunit ribosomal RNA
Source: RNAcentral
GUGGGGAAUUUUGGACAAUGGGCGAAAGCCUGAUCCAGCAAUGCCGCGUGCAGGAUGAAGGCCCUCGGGUUGUAAACUGCUUUUGUACGGAACGAAAAGCCUGGGGCUAAUAUCCCCGGGUCAUGACGGUACCGUAAGAAUAAGCACCGGCUAACUACGUGCCAGCAGCCGCGGUAAUACGUAGGGUGCAAGCGUUAAUCGGAAUUACUGGGCGUAAAGCGUGCGCAGGCGGUUUUGUAAGACAGUGGUGAAAUCCCCGGGCUCAACCUGGGAACUGCCAUUGUGACUGCAAAGCUAGAGUGCGGCAGAGGGGGAUGGAAUUCCGCGUGUAGCAGUGAAAUGCGUAGAUAUGCGGAGGAACACCGAUGGCGAAGGCAAUCCCCUGGGCCUGCACUGACGCUCAUGCACGAAAGCGUGGGGAGCAAACAGGAUUAGAUACCCUUGUAGUCC